Molecule: ribosomal RNA, 253 nt
Filed under: uncultured bacterium
Lineage: Bacteria
Description: partial 16S ribosomal RNA
Rfam family: Bacterial small subunit ribosomal RNA
Source: RNAcentral
UACAGAGGUCUCAAGCGUUGUUCGGAUUCAUUGGGCGUAAAGGGUGCGUAGGUGGCGCUGUAAGUCAGGUGUGAAAUUUCGGAGCUUAACUCCGAAACUGCAUUUGAUACUGCGGUGCUCGAGGACUGGAGAGGAGACUGGAAUUUACGGUGUAGCAGUGAAAUGCGUAGAGAUCAUGAGGAAGACCAGUGGCGAAGGCGGGUCUCUGGACAGUUCCUGACACUGAGGCACGAAGGCCAGGGGAGCAAACGGG